GAUGAAGCCCUUCGGGGUGGAUUAGUGGCGAACGGGUGAGUAACACGUGGGCAAUCUGCCCUUCACUCUGGGACAAGCCCUGGAAACGGGGUCUAAUACCGGAUAAUACUUUCCUCCUCCUGGAGGAAGGUUGAAAGCUCCGGCGGUGAAGGAUGAGCCCGCGGCCUAUCAGCUAGUUGGUGGGGUAAUGGCCUACCAAGGCGACGACGGGUAGCCGGCCUGAGAGGGCGACCGGCCACACUGGGACUGAGACACGGCCCAGACUCCUACGGGAGGCAGCAGUGGGGAAUAUUGCACAAUGGGCGAAAGCCUGAUGCAGCGACGCCGCGUGAGGGAUGACGGCCUUCGGGUUGUAAACCUCUUUCAGCAGGGAAGAAGCGAAAGUGACGGUACCUGCAGAAGAAGCGCCGGCUAACUACGUGCCAGCAGCCGCGGUAAUACGUAGGGCGCAAGCGUUGUCCGGAAUUAUUGGGCGUAAAGAGCUCGUAGGCGGCUUGUCACGUCGGUUGUGAAAGCCCGGGGCUUAACCCCGGGUCUGCAGUCGAUACGGGCAGGCUAGAGUGUGGUAGGGGAGAUCGGAAUUCCUGGUGUAGCGGUGAAAUGCGCAGAUAUCAGGAGGAACACCGGUGGCGAAGGCGGAUCUCUGGGCCAUUACUGACGCUGAGGAGCGAAAGCGUGGGGAGCGAACAGGAUUAGAUACCCUGGUAGUCCACGCCGUAAACGUUGGGAACUAGGUGUUGGCGACAUUCCACGUCGUCGGUGCCGCAGCUAACGCAUUAAGUUCCCCG
This 788-nucleotide ribosomal RNA is filed under the name Streptomyces sp. MBRL 241. RNAcentral's name for it is "bacterial SSU rRNA". It matches the Rfam family "Bacterial small subunit ribosomal RNA", at positions 68 to 871 of the family's 1533-position model. The record is from RNAcentral. Lineage: Bacteria; Bacillati; Actinomycetota; Actinomycetes; Kitasatosporales; Streptomycetaceae.